RNAcentral lists this ribosomal RNA (909 nucleotides) under uncultured bacterium. Its description in RNAcentral is "bacterial SSU rRNA". It matches the Rfam family "Bacterial small subunit ribosomal RNA", at positions 8 to 942 of the family's 1533-position model. The record is from RNAcentral.
AGAGUUUGAUCAUGGCUCAGGACGAACGCUGGCGGCGUGCCUAACACAUGCAAGUCGAGCGGGGAACUUCGGUUCUCAGCGGCGGACGGGUGAGUAACACGUGGGUAACCUGCCUUGUAGAGGGGGAUAGCCUUCCGAAAGGAAGAUUAAUACCGCAUAACAUUAUGCUUUCGCAUGAGAGUAUAAUCAAAGGAGCAAUCCGCUACAAGAUGGACCCGCGGCGCAUUAGCUAGUUGGUGAGGUAACGGCUCACCAAGGCGACGAUGCGUAGCCGGCCUGAGAGGGUGAACGGCCACAUUGGAACUGAGACACGGUCCAGACUCCUACGGGAGGCAGCAGUGGGGAAUAUUGCACAAUGGGCGAAAGCCUGAUGCAGCAACGCCGCGUGAGUGAUGAAGGCCUUCGGGUUGUAAAGCUCUGUCUUCUGGGACGAUAAUGACGGUACCAGAGGAGGAAGCCACGGCUAACUACGUGCCAGCAGCCGCGGUAAUACGUAGGUGGCAAGCGUUGUCCGGAUUUACUGGGCGUAAAGGAUGCGUAGGCGGAUGCUUAAGUCAGAUGUGAAAAUCCCGGGCUUAACUUGGGAACUGCAUUUGAAACUGGGUAUCUAGAGUGCGGGAGAGGAGAGUGGAAUUCCUAGUGUAGCGGUGAAAUGCGUAGAGAUUAGGAAGAACACCAGUGGCGAAGGCGACUCUCUGGACCGUAACUGACGCUGAGGCAUGAAAGCGUGGGGAGCAAACAGGAUUAGAUACCCUGGUAGUCCACGCCGUAAACUAUGAAUACUAUGUGUGGGAGUUGUCAUGACUUCCGUGCCGCAGUUAACACAAUAAGUAUUCCGCCUGGGGAGUACGGUCGCAAGAUUAAAACUCAAAUGAAUUGACGGAAUCUCAAAUGAAUUGACGGAAUCGU